This 81-nucleotide transfer RNA is filed under the name Vitis vinifera (wine grape). Its description in RNAcentral is "transfer RNA-Ser". It matches the Rfam family "tRNA". Rfam says of the family: Transfer RNA (tRNA) molecules are approximately 80 nucleotides in length. Their secondary structure includes four short double-helical elements and three loops (D, anti-codon, and T loops). Further hydrogen bonds mediate the characteristic L-shaped molecular structure. tRNAs have two regions of fundamental functional importance: the anti-codon, which is responsible for specific mRNA codon recognition, and the 3' end, to which the tRNAs corresponding amino acid is attached (by aminoacyl-tRNA synthetases). tRNAs cope with the degeneracy of the genetic code in two manners: having more than one tRNA (with a specific anti-codon) for a particular amino acid; and 'wobble' base-pairing, i.e. permitting non-standard base-pairing at the 3rd anti-codon position. The record is from RNAcentral. Lineage: Eukaryota; Viridiplantae; Streptophyta; Magnoliopsida; Vitales; Vitaceae.
GUGGGCGUGCCGGAGUGGUUAUCAGGCAUGACUAGAAAUCAUGUGGGCUUUGCCCAUGCAGGUUCGAAUCCUGCGCUCACA